CCCUGGGCGCUCCGGCCGGGCAGUAGAGGCGGAGCGCCCCUGGCCAUCGGGAGCUUGGCUUCGCCGUGGUGCUACCGCUGGCGCCACUACCGCUCGAGUAGCCGGCAGUGGGGCUGCUUCUGAAACGCCACAUUUACCGAAAACAAUGAUUAAGGGAGCCAGCAGUUCUGGAAAUUUGCCUUUCUUUAGAAUUCUGAGGACUGUCCGGUUUCUAGGCUGUGGCGAGAGAAGGGACCAGGGACCUAGGCUGAGCAUCGGCUCGUGUUUCCGCGUCUUUUGGUGUUCGCUGCUGUGAGUGCAGCAUUUCAGCUGGAAACAGCGAGGCCGGCCGUGCCCAGCGGCAACAGGGCUCCUGCGGUGCUGACCCUUGUCCCGUUCGGGCGGGAGAGAAGUCCAGGUGGACGAAGAAAUGGAGGAGGAACCAGAGAGGAGCCCUUCCCCCUGAGGGCUGGGGAAGACGAACAGGAUGGCAGCAGCGAUGGUGGAGCCGGGGACGUGAGGAAGAGGGCAGGCAGGGCCUGCCAGGACAACAGAAGCAGGAAAUGGUCAAACUGGAAGCUUCCCCUGGAGCCAGAAGACAGAGUUAGGAGGUAACGUCUCUGCUGUGUUCCGAGCACAGGACUCACAAGAAGAAUGUCGUGUUGGCAAACUCGGAGCCUCUGCUAGCCCAGAGCAGCACUGGCUGACACUGGACGCUCCCCUGAGUAUGACAACCCAGCAUGUCUCCGGGCAUUGAUCCACCCGGGUGGGAAGCCCUGCUCUGUGGUUACUUCUACUACUGCCUGCCGGAAUCCGUGUGUGCUGAGAAGUUAAAAAUGGGUCCUGUCCUGGACGUAGACUGCAUCGUGACUGGACACGUUCCCACGGCUGCAGCCACAGGAAGGCAUUUGUGAGCCUGGGACGGGAUCUGAGGAGUCAGCUGGGUGGAUCAACGCUCAGGCACCUCGUGGGACCCCAUCCCCUCACCAGGGAAAAUGUAGCCGUGGCUGGUCGGCGUGGCUGGCCCAGGAGCACUGCACUCUUCCGGACAGGAAUGGGUGUUGCCUGGCGCCCAGCACGCCCCCGGGGGAAUGCAGAACGGAGUCCUUUCCCAGGGAGAAGCCUGGGGACAACAGGAGGCUUUGCCCUACCACCUGGACCUGGACCUGGCCGCUGCACUGCAGACCCCGGACCUUACAGAGUCAGGUUGUAUUAACAGGGAGCUGGAUCGGAAGUGGAACAGCAGGGACUGGAACUGGCGGCCAUAUGGGAUGCCAGCAUCGCAGGCAGUGGCUUAACCCAGUACACCACAAUGCCGGCUCCAAAACCUGUCAUCUUGACAAGCCGAGGCGACUCCUAUAAACAAAUACAAGGGGCUUCAAAACGUUCCUGGGAAACGCAGGUUAUCUUCGAGUUCCACUUGUGCGUGAAUGUGUUGACGCCCCUCACGUGCGGGUAUGUGUUCUUUCCGUCGGCGUUCCCGGAUGAUCCACGGCAUCGUGUACGGUCCACUUUGUAUCCGUUCCCCUCCCCCAAAGGCCCCACUCAACAAUAGGUCCUCAGUGCCCCAGUCUUCCAGGCUCAGGUUGUGUUUAUUUGGUUGUCAGGGGCACCCCCGUGGGCCUUUGCCUGCCAUUCCCUAGGUGUGGCCAGGACCGCGGCUGGGGUUUUUCCCAGGUGUGGGACCCUCUUCCUCUCUGCCGGUGUUGAGGGGUUGGAGAGAAACGCUGGCGGCAAGGGGAAGGAGAGGCGAUGGUCUCCGAUGCUCCAGGCCCUGGGGGUGAGCAGGGAGAAGCCAGCCAGAACUUGGGCAGCAGAGAGCAAGGUAUGCGGCAGAACCAGGGAGGCUGGGGGCCGUGGCACUGGGACCAGGAAGAACAAGCCCAGCCAGCAAACCCAGGGGCAGUUCCCUUGGCUAGCAAGACGGAGACUCCAUGGGAAGGGUAGGGUGGGGAGGGUCACGAGGGGAGAAAUGAGGGAGGUUGGGGAGGGGUGACCGUGCCAGGCUGCUCUGUCCCAGGUGACCAGAGAUGCAGAGGCCAGGCCAGGGUGUGAGAGGCAGGGCUGCGAACCAGGGCCCAGGAACAGAGGUUAAGGCAGGGGAGACUGCUGGGCAGAUGGCAGGUCACUGCAUGGAGCCUCCUCCCAAGGCCCAGGGGAGCAAGGGGAGGCCCCAGCUCUGCUUUCAGCCUCCGUUUGUCCUUGAGCGUGGGCAGCCGCGGUUCCAAGGGCUGCACCUGGCCCAGCUGACGCUGGACUCCCCUGGGGGCCGUGCCCUCUACUCCACCCCCUGCCUGGACCUGUGACUUGGGUCUUCUCUCGUCCCCUGGCUCCUGGGACCUCCACCUCUGGGCUGAUCCCCGGACUUGGGCCCCACAUCCUGCAGGUGGCCCUCCACCUGGGAAACGUGGCCUGAAUGCCAGCUCAUGUCUCAGCAGCAUCCCCGCCCCUAAGUCCUCCGCUUUCUCCCAGAUCUACCCAUCCCUUUCCAGAUCUGCUUUGCUUUCUGACGUGUCCUGUCCCACGUGGGCCCACCUAACAGUCUCACCGGCACCCCUAAAGCUUCGUCUCUCCAAAGCCUGGUCACCUGCUCCCCAGAAACUUCUGCCUUGGGCCAGUUCACCCGUUUUGUGCCCCUCACUUUACCUGGGUUCCGGAGAACCCCCCGGCAUGGUUCUCCCAACAGGCUCCUCUGGUCCUGGUCCUCCCCAGGGUCAAGUCCACCCUCCUCUCAUUCUCAUUGGGAAAUGCCAGCUCCUGAUAACUGCCACUCAGGAAGCAUGCCCCUUGACCCUUCCUUCUCCCAGAGGCACAGCCUGCACGCUGGCCUGGUCCCACACGCCGGAGCUCCCUCCCCCGCUCCCUCUGCACCCCCUACCCCCACCAGGGCUUCCCUCCAUCCCCUCUCUGCUCUCUCCCUGAGGGUCCGCCAUUUCUGUUUCACUUGGCUCUCCUAUCACUGUUCAAAAACGCUGUGUCUCUGGCUUGUUCCCUUAGAUUUUCUAUUGUAAAAGAAUUCACCAGGAAAUGCAUCCACUCUCCAAAACUCAACAGAUAGAAGCAGGCGUCUCUCGUUCAUCCCUUGGCCACCCAGCGCCUUUGUGUGGAUGUAACCUGUAUCAUCGCUAUUAUUAUUUUGUUCUUGAAUGUCUUCCGCUGUUGUGUCACACAAGGAAUUAUGUAUACACUCUUUCUACUGAUUUUUUACACAAAAUGUAGCGAGCUGCAUGCACACUCCUGUACCUUGCUGUUUUUCAUGUAAGGUGCAGUUAAGUGUAGCAUAAUAACGUUUUGGGGGUUAGGGGGUUGGCGCUAUGAUGUAGUGAGUAAAGCCGCUGCCUGUGAAGCCGGCAUCUCGUAUGGGCACCGGUUCCAGUCCUGGCUGCUCCACUGCCCAUCCAACUCCUUGUUGGUGGUCUGGGAACAGCAGUGGAGGGUGGCCCAGGUGCUUGGACCCCUGCCACCCAGCGGCCAUCUGGGGAGUGAACCAGCAAAUAGAAAAUCUCUCUCUUUCUCUUUCUCUCUCUGUAACUCUUGACUUCCAAAUAAAUAAACAAAUGUUUUAUUUAAAAAAAAAAAGGGGGAGGGGGGAGGACAGCAUUGUGGCUUAGUUUGUAAAGCUGCCGCACCCCGUAUGGGUACUAGUUCCUGUUCCGGCUGCUCUGCUUCCAGUCAGAAGAUGGCCCAACCAGCCCUCUGCUGUGGCCAGGGAGUGCAGUGGAGGAUGGCCCAGGUGCUUGGGCCCUGCACCCCAUGGGAGACCAGGAAAAGCACCUGGCUCCUGGCUCCUGCCAUCAGAUCAGCGCGGUGCGCCGGCCGCAGCGCGCCGGCCGCGGCGGCCAUUGGAGGGUGAACCAACGGCAAAAGGAAGACCUUUCUCUCUGUCUCUCUCUCUCUCUCACUGUCCACUCUGCCUGUCAAAAAAAAAAAAAAAAAAAAAAGAUGGCCCAAGUGGUUCAGUCCCUGCCACCCAUGUGGGAGACCUGUAUAAAGCUCCCGGCUCCUGGCUGCAGUUGGCCCAGCCCCAGAAGUGGGGCCAUUUGGAGAGUGAACCAGCAAAUGGAAGAUUCUCUCUCUGUAACUCCGCCUUUCAAAUAAAUAAAUCUUAAAAAAAAAAAAUGAUUGAUUUGAAGGGUAGAGUUACAGAGUGAGAGGGAGAGACAGAGAUCUUCCAUCUGCUGGUUCACUCUCUAAAUGGCUGCAAUGGCCAGACCUGAACUGGUCUGAAGCCAGGAGUCAGGAGCUGCUUCCGGGUCUCCCAUGUGGGUGCAGGGGCCCAAGGACUUGGGCCAUCUUCCACUGCUUUCCCAGGUACAUUAGCUGGGAGCUGGGUUGGAAGUGGAGCAGCCGGAACUUGAACCAGUGCCCAUAUGGGAUGCUGGCAUGUAGACAGUAGCUUUAUCCGCUAUGCCACAGUGCCGGCCCCUAUAUCUUUUUUUAAAAAAUCAGAAUUAACAAUGGACCGCAUGUAUGAUGGUGAUUCCAGUGAUGUGACAGCCAUCCUAGUUUGUGUAGUACACUCGGUGGCAUUUGCACGAUGAUGAAAUCACCCGAAGAUGAAGCUCUCAGAACACAUCCCUGUUGUUGAGGGUGAUCAUGUCCUGGAGGUCAUUCCAUAUUUGUCACAAAAGAGCUGCCUCUGGGCAGUGGGUUAACCUCCUGGCCUGAAGGGCCGGCAUCCCAUAUGGGCGCCGGUUCGAGACGUGGCAGCUCCUCUUCCUAUCCAGCUCUCUGCUGUGGCCUGGGAAAGCAGGAGAAGAUGGCCCAAGUGCUUGGGCCCCUGCACCCAUGUGGGAGACCCAGAAGAAGCUCCUGGCUCCUGGCUUCGGAUCGGCGCAUCUCCGGCCAUUGCAGCCAACGGGGGAGUGAACCAGUGGAUGGAAGACCUCUCUCUCUCGCUCUCUCUCUCUCUCUCUCUCUCUCUGCCUCUCCUUCUAUGUAACUCUUUCUGCCCCUGCUUGUUUUAACAGCUGUAGUGUUGCACUGGUUGGAUGCACAUGGAUUUCCUUAGCCAGGGCAAGAGGUGGACUCCUGCUGCUAUCACGGGUGACCGCCCCUUCUUAGAAGCUCAGCACACCAAGCAUUUGUCUCCCACUCAGGCCACUGUCCAGGGGGAGUUCCUUCUGUGUGAUGACUCAGGGGCCCAGGAUCCCUCCAUUUUGUGCGUUUAUCCUGUUCUGGGUCACUAGAAAUCUCCUUAUUUGGGACCGGCGUUGUGGCAUAGCCAGGAAAGCCACUGCUUGUGACACCAGCAUAGCAUAAGGGUGCCGGUUCGUGUCCCAGAUGCUCCACUUCCAUCCAGCUCCCUGCUAACGACCUGGGAAAAGUUCCUGGCUUCAGCCUGGCCCAGCCCCAGCCAUUGCAGCCACUUGGGAAGUAAACCGGCAGAUGGAAGAUCUCUCUCCCUCUCUAACUCUGUCUUUGAAAAAAAUAAAUAAGUCUUGGGAGGAAGGAAGGUCCCCACUUAGCACGUAGGUAGGAAAGAGCCAGGGAGACCCCAUCAACCAGGCCCAGGUACACUCACUAAUCCCUUUGGCUAGGCCUCGGCCACACAACCACUCCUGCAGUCCCACGGGGGACUGACGGAUGCACCAGGGAGAAGGAAUGGGCCGAGGAGCGGCCACUGUCUGUAGAAGAAUCCAGAAGAGAGUCUUGCCCUCAGCCCAAGUCUCCCUUCAAAUUCGUCCUUCCACUUCCUGUCACAGCCAAGCGCCGCCCAGGCAGUCUCUCCCUCUGCUGUCUGUGGUCCUGGUGGGACUGCUCUGCGCCCGCCCCGCUCCACCUCGGGGUUCUUCUUCUAAGGAUGGGGUUCAGCUCUGCUCUUCACCUCCCCCACACCUGACACGCCGCCCACCGCUCCCCUUGGACCCGCCCUCACCCCCCAGCCCGAAUGCCUCUGCCCAGGCCCCGAAUGCCUCUGCCCAGGCCCCCUUCCUCUUGCCGUCCUUACAGGCUGCUGUUCCACAGGCGGCACAUCCCAUGACUUAAUGGCUCCACCUUUCGGCACCACAAGAGGUAGGAGGGUCAACUUUUCCGUCCAGAAACACCUAUUUCUCCAGGAAUCAUGGUGCGUUAAAACCCAGGCCUGGUGCAGGGUUAAGUUCACUGGUAUUGGAAAUGGUUCCUUUUCAACUUCUCGGUACAUAGGAAGCAUGAACAAAUGCAUGCGUGUUGAAGUAGACAUAGUGGGGCUGGCGCUGUGGGCAUUGUAGGCUAAGCCUCUGCUUACAGUGCCAGCACCCCACGUGGGUACCAGUUCGAGUCCCGGCGGCUCCACUUCUGAUCCUGCUCCCUGAUAAUGUGUGUGGGAAAGCAGUAGAAGACGCUGCAAGUCCUUGGGCCCCUGCACCCACAUGGGAGACCCGGAAGAAGCUCCUGGCUCCUGGCUUCAGAGUGACCUACUUCCGACCAUUGCGGCCAUUUGAGGAGUGAACCAGCAGAUGGAAGAUCUCCCUCUCUCUUUCUCUCUCUCUGCCUCUGUAACUCUGCCUUUCAGAUAAAUAAAUAAAUCUUAAAGAAAAAAAAAAGUCCACAGUGAUGCCUCCAAUUCCACUCUGACAUCAUCGCGUGCAUUCCAGCCUUGCCCCUUAUUUUUAACUCGUUUAUCUGACAGUGAGAAAUGAUUCCCCUUAAUCACAGGAUAUGUGCUUAUCUGCUCCAUGCCAAAAUACAUGUAGUUUCUGCAUUUCUAACUUGCACGUCUGUGAAAAGCAAACCUACUGCUUAGAGCGCGCUGACACCCAGUUUUCCCGCUUGAAAGUAUAGAGUGACAAUACCUGGGGCAGGGGUUUGGCACAGCAGUUAAGAGGCCUGCGUCCUGUAUCAGAGAUCCUGGUUCCAGUCCUGGCUCCUCCACUUCUGAUGCAGCUUCUGCUUUGUGCACCCUGGGGGGCAGCAGGUGCCGCCUCAAGUACUUGGGUCCACCCACGCUUGUGGGAGACCUGGGUGGAGCUCCGGGUUCCUGGCCUCGGUCGGGUCCAAACCUGGCUGUUUGUGGGCAAUUGAGGAAAUAACCCAGUGGAUGGAAAAUUUGUCUCUGUCUCUCUCUGAUUUGCAUUUAAAAUGAAAAGAUUUUUUUUUUUUUUAAUUGGGAGGGAACUAGCAUUGCAGUGUAGUGUGGAUGCCAACAUCCCAAAUGCAUGCCGGUUGCAGUCCCAGUGUAGGAGCUGGAGUCUUCUGUACUCUGGCUGCUUGCUUGCCUGCUGUGCUCCCCUGGAGUCUGUGACCCCCUGACCCCCACCAGCUCCCCUGGGGUUUAUGGCCCAAUGCUUCCCACCAGUGCCUCCCCGUGCCAUCUCCUUUGUGUGGCCUUCCCGCCACAUAACCUAUAUAGCCCGUACGUUUAAAUGAACCAAUGAACAUGUUAGGUCCCAAUACCUUGCCAUAUAGAGAGUAAGAAGGUAACCUACGUAGGAGAUGACCUGCACCCUUGCAAGUGUGAGGCUAUAAAAACCUCUCUUAUGCAAACGAAGGGGCCUUUUGCCUGUGCAAGGCUAAAGGGCUGUGUGCGGGUAGGGGGUCCCAGCCGGCUGAUAACAAAUAGACGUCUGCUUUUGCAUCCGCGACUGUGCCUUGUGCAUUGCCUGGGAAAUUCGGACACAACACCAGCUGUUCCACUUCCGAUCCAGCUCCUGCUAAUGCGCCUGGGAAAGCCGUGGACAAUGGCUUGAAUCCUUGUGCCUCUGCACCCACAUGGGAGACCAGAACGGAGCUCUAGGCUUCUGGCUUUAAACUGGUCUGGGCCCAGAUGUUGUGGCCAUCUGGGGAGUGAGCCAGCAGGUAGAAGAUGCCUCUCUCUCUAAUUCCACCUUUCCUUUCUCAUAAGCAAAUCUUUAAAAAAAAAAAAAGUUUAAAUGCCCUUUAUGAAGCCCCCUGGGUUAGUGCUCAGUCUGUUUGCUCUGUGCCGUGGUGCCCACCCUUAGCAAGCUGCGCGACUGGGUCUCCUGGUCUCUGUCUCUGAUCCACUUGGGUCCUCUCCACCAC
Molecule: non-coding RNA, 7962 nt
Organism: Oryctolagus cuniculus (rabbit)
Lineage: Eukaryota; Metazoa; Chordata; Mammalia; Lagomorpha; Leporidae
Source: RefSeq, a predicted model, not a curated record